Molecule: long non-coding RNA, 1451 nt
Filed under: Homo sapiens (human)
Lineage: Eukaryota; Metazoa; Chordata; Mammalia; Primates; Hominidae
Description: HSALNT0317207
Source: RNAcentral
GUGCGGACGUGUCUCGGGCGUGACCUUUGAGCAGCUGCGCCACCGGCUCAGCCUCGCGGCGGGGGAAACCCGAGCUCCCAACAAAACGGUUCCAUCUUUGGCUAGGCCUUUGGUAUUUCAAGGCGCUGCCGGUGGGGAGAGAUGCCGCGUGCCUGAGAGGCUCUGGGAGCCUAGUUUAUCUCCCGGGAGCUGACUUCAUUUCUAAACGUAUAGGGGUUUCUUAGAGGAGCUUCAGAAUACUAAUCAUCGCUAGUGAGGGCACUUGGACACUUUGCUUCACCUCAGCCAGCACCUCUUUUCCCAGCUGUAAAAUGAGAGCUAAUGCUGGCAGCUGUUGGGAUGUCCUCUUCCAGGAAUGGUGAUGAGUUUCCCUGGAUCCAGCCCUGGCUUGGCUGAGGUUUUUCUCACUGUAAGAAGAGGACAAUAGCCUAUGAUCUACAGUGCCCAUUCCAACUCAGAGAAUCUUUACAUCUGGAGAUCUAUAGCAGGGCUAUCCCUAGUGACAUGCGUGAAGAAGCUUGGAAAUGGUGCUGGGUAGGAGCUGAGUGUGCAGAAUGUGGAAAGGCAUUCUAAACCAAAGGAAGAACACGAGUAAAGAUGAUGAAGCAGGGAUAAGGCUAAAAUGAAAUUUGUGAUCUGAUCCACAUACAAGCACAGUGUAGUACAGCUGGAAUAUAGAGAAGAGCUUGAAGACUUAUGAGCAACUAUCCCGGUACUCUUGGAGGCUCUGCAACCACAGUUUGAGAAACUCCGCGUUCAAAGUUAAAAACUGUCACCUGAAUAGUUAAUAACAUCAAAGAUUGUGAAAGCAAGUAUAAAUAACACAGAGAUUAAAAUAAUGAGGCAGGAUCAGAAACACUGACCUGCUGUGUAAGAAGUCCAACUGCCCUGAGGCCACCAGGCUGGAGAGACCAUGUAUGGAUAGGUUCUCUGAUCAACAGUUUCUAUCAAGCCCAGCCUUCUAGCCAUCAAGCCCAGCCUUCUAGCCAUGUCCACCAAUGUGCCUGACAUGUGAGUGAAGCCAUCACAGACCCUUCAGACCAGCCCACCUGCCAGCUGAAUACUUAAAACAAGAAGGAAGAUCUCCCAUAGAUUUUCAAGGUGCUGAGAAAACAGCUUCUAGACAUAUCUCGAAAGCCAAGUUUCUGAGAUGUAAUCAGAAAGCUGUAGUGGAAGGAAAUUUGAACCAGAAGACUGCAGUCCUGUCUAUGAACGUUAAACCUGUGUGGCUUAGGAAACGAGUCUAACCUCGUCUGAGCCUCAGUUUGUUCACCUAAAAGAUGGAGAUGAGAGCUCAUUUGUCUCAUUCUCAGGGGUUAUGGUGGCCAUCCAGACAUAAAGAAAUUAGAACGUUCAUUCAUCUGCAGAUGCUCACACAUUCCUACAGGAUGACUGAAACCCACAGCAAACAAUCCUCAUGAAAUACAGCUCAGCUCAUCCUGAAGAAUAAG